GAAUACAGGCCAAUGCCCAUAAGAAUUCAUCCCGAGAACUGAGUUCUAUAGCUCCUUAUCAAUUCAGUUUUACAAAGAUUUAGAUAACCUUAUAACCAUGCACUUUUGCAUACUUGGAUGGUGGCAAAUCAGUCCUGUGUGCUUUUUGUUUCUUCCCCACAACCUGUGAAUUUAAGUACCUAAGUCAUCUCCCAUUUCACUUUAGGUGCCAAUGCUCCUGAAUCAUCUUUAUCGAGAGAAUUUCCCAUCUUUAAGGGGGUUCUUUCUCGGUUGCAUCACUAAUGCUUCAGUGAUCUCAAUGCCCCAAUACCAACUUCUAAUUUCGAUGUUGCAACUAUCGAGAGUUUCAUGCAUUAGCUGUGGCCCUAAUCCACAUAGACCAAGGGCGAACACUCAUCUUUUGCAGCAUGGACUAUCAAGGUAUCUAAUUUUGUGCUUUCACACCACAUAUACAGAUAUCAAAACGCAUGCAGUCCAUUUGGUCGUUUCGAAUAUUUUGGGUUAUUUCAAGGACAAAAAAUACAAAUAUGGGCCUUUAAGUCCAAAGAUGACCAAGUAUUUCUAAGCUAAAAUGGUCUCUUGAUCAUCAGAUUUUGUUUGGAAUUUUUUGAUCUCAUGGUGGAAGACUAAGAACAUUUUGAUCUCGUAGUAGAAGACUCAAAAUUUGAUACUUCAGUUUCCAUGGCCUCUGCACUCGACUGAUCAAAGUUAAGAUUAUAGUCAGAGCCGGACCUGAG
RNAcentral lists this long non-coding RNA (737 nucleotides) under Olea europaea subsp. europaea. The record is from RNAcentral. Lineage: Eukaryota; Viridiplantae; Streptophyta; Magnoliopsida; Lamiales; Oleaceae.